ACAAUAAGGGGCCAUCCAUAAAGUACGUCACACGAAUUUCAUGAUUUUUUGACCCCCCCUCCGUCCUUGUCACAGGUGUGUGACGUCACAUGUUUUGCAAUUUCACAUCGAAAAAUUAUUAAAUUAACAGCAGUUCCGAAAUUAGUUUUAUUUCCAUUUAAAUUAAGUACAUUUUUUUAU
Molecule: long non-coding RNA, 180 nt
Organism: Ostrinia nubilalis (European corn borer)
Lineage: Eukaryota; Metazoa; Arthropoda; Insecta; Lepidoptera; Crambidae
Exons: 2
Source: RefSeq, a predicted model, not a curated record